CCCUUAGACGUUCUGGGCCGCACGCGCGCUACACUGAUCGGUGCAACAAGCAUCCGUCCUUGGCCGACAGGCCCGGGCAAUCUUUGAACGCCGGUCGUGAUGGGGAUAGACCUUUGCAAUUUUUGGUCUUCAACGAGGAAUUCCUAGUAAACGCAAGUCAUCAACUUGCAUUGAUUACGUCCCUGCCCUUUGUACACACCGCCCGUCGCACCUACCGAUUGAAUGGUCCGGUGAAACCUCCGGAUUGGCGCGUGCCCUCGGGCGCCGCCGAGAAGUUGGUUAAACCUUACCAUUUAGAGGAAGGUGAAGUCGUAACA
RNAcentral lists this ribosomal RNA (317 nucleotides) under uncultured eukaryote. RNAcentral's name for it is "partial 18S ribosomal RNA". It matches the Rfam family "Eukaryotic small subunit ribosomal RNA", at positions 1470 to 1796 of the family's 1831-position model. The record is from RNAcentral.